CAUAUAGGUGGCUGUGGUUACAGUUGCUUUUCUAGCAACUCCUCAACUAUUAGCCAGAGAACGAAUAUGCAUUUUUGCUGCUCACACAAGGGAAGACCUUCUCAAAGCAUUGGAGGUUAUCAGCAUAGUUGGUGAUAUGGCAUAAAAUACUUUCCUGCUCACUCCUAUAAACAACACUUGGAAGAAAACAGAGUUAAGCUGGACUGAAUUAUUAUAUGUGAGUGUAGUUUCCCAAUGUUGUAUGUUUUGCUUCAAUUGGGUAUUGAAAUCUAAAAGGAGUCCAAAAAUUGUGUCUAGUGUGAAUGCUUACUGUAAGAUGUACAUAUAUUGUCAUUAAAAGAAAUGCUGAUUGUCAAAAUCUAAAGCUCAUGCAUGUGUUGCCUUUU
Long non-coding RNA from Ipomoea nil (Japanese morning glory), 386 nucleotides. RefSeq lists it as uncharacterized. Lineage: Eukaryota; Viridiplantae; Streptophyta; Magnoliopsida; Solanales; Convolvulaceae. The transcript is spliced from 2 exons. The record is from RefSeq and is a predicted model, not a curated record.